Long non-coding RNA from Cervus elaphus (red deer), 138 nucleotides. RefSeq lists it as uncharacterized. The transcript is spliced from 3 exons. Lineage: Eukaryota; Metazoa; Chordata; Mammalia; Artiodactyla; Cervidae. The record is from RefSeq and is a predicted model, not a curated record.
GGAACUUCUCUGGUGGCCCAGUGGCUAAGACUCUGCGCUCCCGAUACAGGGGGCCAGAGUUUGAUCCUUUGUCAGGGAAUUAGACCCCAAAUGCCGCAACUGAGACCUGGCACAGCCAAAUAAAUAAAUAAAAAUAAA